GAUGAACGCUGGCGGCGUGCCUAAUACAUGCAAGUCGAGCGAACGGACGAGAAGCUUGCUUCUCUGAUGUUAGCGGCGGACGGGUGAGUAACACGUGGAUAACCUACCUAUAAGACUGGGAUAACUUCGGGAAACCGGAGCUAAUACCGGAUAAUAUUUUGAACCGCAUGAUUCAAAAGUGAAAGACGGUCUUGCUGUCACUUAUAGAUGGAUCCGCGCUGCAUUAGCUAGUUGGUAAGGUAACGGCUUACCAAGGCAACGAUGCAUAGCCGACCUGAGAGGGUGAUCGGCCACCCUGGAACGGAGACACGGUCCAGACUCCUACGGGAGGCAGCAGUAGGGAAUCUUCCGCAAUGGGCGAAAGCCUGACGGAGCAACGCCGCGUGAGUGAUGAAGGUCUUCGGAUCGUAAAACUCUGUUAUUAGGGAAGAACAUAUGUGUAAGUAACUGUGCACAUCUUGACGGUACCUAAUCAGAAAGCCACGGCUAACUACGUG
This 497-nucleotide ribosomal RNA is filed under the name uncultured bacterium. Its description in RNAcentral is "partial 16S ribosomal RNA". It matches the Rfam family "Bacterial small subunit ribosomal RNA", at positions 28 to 507 of the family's 1533-position model. The record is from RNAcentral.